This 79-nucleotide transfer RNA is filed under the name Tersicoccus solisilvae. RNAcentral's name for it is "tRNA-Val". Lineage: Bacteria; Bacillati; Actinomycetota; Actinomycetes; Micrococcales; Micrococcaceae. The record is from RNAcentral.
CGGCAUCGUGCCGGGUGAGGUGGGCGACGUCGUUGACGGUGACGGCCCGCCAGCCCGGUUCGGUGCCGGAGGCGCCGUC